CCUACGGGAGGCUGCAGUGAGGAAUAUUGGUCAAUGGCCGGAAGGCUGAACCAGCCAAGCCGCGUGAAGGACGAAGGUGCCAAGCAUUGUAAACUUCUUUUGUCAAGGGACAAAAUCAGGCUCGAGAGCCUGACCGAGGGUACUUGAAGAAAAAGCAUCGGCUAACACCGUGCCAGCCGCCGCGGUAAUACGGAGGAUGCGAGCGUUAGCCGGAUUUAUUGGGUUUAAAGGGUGCGUAGGCGGACUGUUAAGUCAGCGGUAAAAGCCCGGGGCUCAACCCCGGCGAGCCGUUGAAACUGGGUGUCUUGAGAGGUCGAGAGGGAGGCGGAAUGCGAAGUGUAGCGGUGAAAUGCUUAGAUAUAGCGCAGAACUCCGAUGGCGAAGGCAGCAUACCGGCGGGGAUCUGACGCUGAGGCACGAAAGCGUGGGGAUCGAACAGGAUUAGAUACCCCUGUAGUC
Molecule: ribosomal RNA, 459 nt
Filed under: uncultured bacterium
Lineage: Bacteria
Description: partial 16S ribosomal RNA
Rfam family: Bacterial small subunit ribosomal RNA
Source: RNAcentral